Molecule: ribosomal RNA, 236 nt
Filed under: uncultured bacterium
Lineage: Bacteria
Description: partial 16S ribosomal RNA
Rfam family: Bacterial small subunit ribosomal RNA
Source: RNAcentral
CGGCGGACGGGUGAGUAACGCGUGGGUAACCUACCUCAUACAGGGGGAUAACAGUUGGAAACGGCUGCUAAUACCGCAUAAGCGCACAGUACCGCAUGGUACCGUGUGAAAAACUCCGGUGGUAUGAGAUGGACCCGCGUCUGAUUAGCUAGUUGGUGGGGUAACGGCCUACCAAGGCGACGAUCAGUAGCCGCCUGAGAGGGUGACGGCCACAUUGGGACUGAGACACGGCCCAA